Molecule: unclassified non-coding RNA, 338 nt
Filed under: Hevea brasiliensis (rubber tree)
Lineage: Eukaryota; Viridiplantae; Streptophyta; Magnoliopsida; Malpighiales; Euphorbiaceae
Source: RNAcentral
AACUUAAAAGACUCAUUUAUUUGAGACCUGUGAUGACUAGGAUUAUCAAUAAAUAAAAUAAAUUAAGAGUUUAAGACUCAUAGCACUAGCACUCAAAAUUGACAAAAAUUACAGAAACACCCUGUUGAAUCCUGUAGCAAAAUAAUUGAUACCGUAGGAAUUACCUUACUCUUUGCAUCAAAAACUCCCCUAAUUUAAUUUAGAUCUCAAAAAUGAAGCAUUUUAAGUAAUCAGAACACUGAAAUUCAUUUAACAACUUGGUCAAAUUAUAACACGAAUCUGAAACAGCCCACAAAUAUAAGAGCAAUAAUUUACCUUGUGAACUUAAUGCCUAUCAU